This 429-nucleotide ribosomal RNA is filed under the name Pseudomonadota bacterium. RNAcentral describes it as "Proteobacteria bacterium partial 16S ribosomal RNA". It matches the Rfam family "Bacterial small subunit ribosomal RNA", at positions 355 to 776 of the family's 1533-position model. Lineage: Bacteria; Pseudomonadati; Pseudomonadota. The record is from RNAcentral.
UGGGGAAUAUUGGACAAUGGGCGAAAGCCUGAUCCAGCCAUGCCGCGUGUGUGAAGAAGGUCUUCGGAUUGUAAAGCACUUUAAGUUGGGAGGAAGGGCAGUAAGCGAAUACCUUGCUGUUUUGACGUUACCGACAGAAUAAGCACGGGCUAACUCUGUGCCAGCAGCUGCGGUAAUACAGAGGGUGCAAGCGUUAAUCGGAAUUACUGGGCGUAAAGCGCGCGUAGGUGGUUCGUUAAGUAGAAGGUGAAAGCCCCGGGCUCAACCUGGGAACUGCGUCCAAAACUGGCGAGCUAGGGUAGGGCAGAGGGUGGUGGGAUUUCCUGGGUAGCGGUGAAAGGCGUAGAUAUAGGGAGGAACACCAGUGGCGAGGGCGACCACCUGGGCUCAUACUGACACUGAGGUGCGAAAGCGUGGGGAGCAAACAGG